UACGUAGGUGGCAAGCGUUGUCCGGAUUUAUUGGGUUUAAAGGGUGCGUAGGCGGUCUUAUAAGUCAGUGCUGAAAUAUCCCGGCUUAACCGGGAGGGUGGCAUUGAUACUGUAGGACUUGAGUAGAGUUGAGGUUGGCGGAAUUGACGGUGUAGCGGUGAAAUGCUUAGAUAUCGUCAAGAACACCGAUAGUGAAGACAGCGAACUAAGCUCUAACUGACGCUGAGGCACGAAAGUGUGGGGAUCAAACAGG
This 253-nucleotide ribosomal RNA is filed under the name uncultured bacterium. RNAcentral describes it as "partial 16S ribosomal RNA". It matches the Rfam family "Bacterial small subunit ribosomal RNA", at positions 524 to 776 of the family's 1533-position model. The record is from RNAcentral.